Leptopilina boulardi is the source of this 810-nucleotide long non-coding RNA. RefSeq lists it as uncharacterized. The record is from RefSeq and is a predicted model, not a curated record. The transcript is spliced from 3 exons. Lineage: Eukaryota; Metazoa; Arthropoda; Insecta; Hymenoptera; Figitidae.
GUCGAACAAGAGUUUCCAUUGAUGUUUGCGAUACAGCGCAAUCUGUUUUCUUAAUUAAUUUCUCUUUUAUUUUCGGGAACAAACUGAUGCCACUACCUUCAUGUUCAGAUUUGGUUUCUUCAUUUUUCUCCUAUGCACAGCUCAAAAAUAUUGUGUUCUUCCUUUUCAAUGCAAUCGUUGGAAUCUUCGGGCGGAUUAUUUGUACUUGUAUCCAAAGUGACGGGAUUUCCCUCUUUAUUAUUUUUAUUCGUAUCAGGAUCUGUUACUGUCAUUCCAAAUAUUUUUCCUGGUGGUAGGCGAUUAAUUUUUUGUCCUGUCGUCACUUUUGCCAUACAAAGAGCUAUUGCAUCUUCGGCAGCCUGUUGUCGUUUCAAAGCGACCUAAAAAAAAGAAUCACUUAGCAUUUGACUAAAAUUACCAAAGUGCGAAUAUUCACUGGAUAUACAUAUAUAAUCAGAAACAGUUUGAGAUUUUGUGGGAUGAAGUGUUAUAGACGUAGGAUCGAGUGACUCUAAUGCCUAUGCAAACAGAAAUGAAAUACUAUACCGAAGCUUAAUGGAUUUUGCCUUUAAUGAUACCAGACAAGAAAAACGAUUGUGAUGAGUAAACUGUGUUUGUUACAUUAACAAAAAUGAUUUUUCACAAAAUUUUCAUGUAAGUGCAAUUUUUUAUUUGAAAAAAAAAAAUAAAUUUGCUAGUAUUAUCUUUACAAAAAGUAAUUGCAGUAUUUAAUUAAUUAAGUACCUACAAAAAUAUAUAUUUAAAUAUUUUAAUUAUUAAAUUUAUUUAAAUUUAAAAAAAAGUAGGUCA